UUGUAGAUAUCCUGGUGUUAAAGUACCCACAAGGCAAGUUGCUGCUGUGUACAGGAAUCCUUUCAACAAAAUUGCCAUGUUCAAGCGCAUUUUUCGCGCCACCAGUAGUUGAUUGCUUGUAUAAACGUUCCAACAUGCCAGAUAGUGUUAUCAGUCCUGAUAUAGGUAUAGUGUUAUCAGUCCUGAUAUAGGUAUUGUGGGGUCUCUGUAGAUGUACGUGGGUGCAAUGAAUGCAGUGUUAACUGUCGAG
Molecule: unclassified non-coding RNA, 250 nt
Filed under: Hevea brasiliensis (rubber tree)
Lineage: Eukaryota; Viridiplantae; Streptophyta; Magnoliopsida; Malpighiales; Euphorbiaceae
Source: RNAcentral